RNAcentral lists this ribosomal RNA (497 nucleotides) under uncultured bacterium. RNAcentral describes it as "partial 16S ribosomal RNA". It matches the Rfam family "Bacterial small subunit ribosomal RNA", at positions 28 to 507 of the family's 1533-position model. The record is from RNAcentral.
GAUGAACGCUGGCGGCGUGCCUAAUACAUGCAAGUCGAGCGAACAGACGAGGAGCUUGCUCCUCUGACGUUAGCGGCGGACGGGUGAGUAACACGUGGAUAACCUACCUAUAAGACUGGGAUAACUUCGGGAAACCGGAGCUAAUACCGGAUAAUAUAUUGAACCGCAUGGUUCAAUAGUUAAAGACGGUUUUGCUGUCACUUAUAGAUGGAUCCGCGCCGGAUUAGCUAGUUGGUAAGGUAACGGCUUACCAAGGCAACGAUGCGUAGCCGACCUGAGAGGGUGAUCGGCCACACUGGAACUGAGACACGGUCCAGACUCCUACGGGAGGCAGCAGUAGGGAAUCUUCCGCAAUGGGCGAAAGCCUGACGGAGCAACGCCGCGUGAGUGAUGAAGGUCUUCGGAUCGUAAAACUCUGUUAUUAGGGAAGAACAAAUGUGUAAGUAACUAUGCACGUCUUGACGGUACCUAAUCAGAAAGCCACGGCUAACUACGUG